RNAcentral lists this ribosomal RNA (253 nucleotides) under uncultured bacterium. Its description in RNAcentral is "partial 16S ribosomal RNA". It matches the Rfam family "Bacterial small subunit ribosomal RNA", at positions 524 to 776 of the family's 1533-position model. The record is from RNAcentral.
UACAGAGGGGGCAAGCGUUGUUCGGAAUUACUGGGCGUAAAGGGCGCGUAGGCGGCCUUCUAAGUCGAACGUGAAAUCCCUGGGCUCAACCCAGGAACUGCGUCCGAUACUGGAAGGCUUGAAUCCGGGAGAGGGAUGCGGAAUUCCAGGUGUAGCGGUGAAAUGCGUAGAUACCUGGAGGAACACCGGUGGCGAAGGCGGCAUCCUGGACCGGUAUUGACGCUGAGGCGCGAAAGCCAGGGGAGCAAACGGG